GAACAUGAGAGUUUGAUCCUGGCUCAGGAUGAACGCUGGCGGCGUGCUUAACACAUGCAAGUCGAACGAAGCACUUUAACGGAUCUUCUUCGGGAGUGAAGAUAUUGUGACUGAGUGGCGGACGGGUGAGUAACGCGUGGGUAACCUGCCUCAUACAGGGGGAUAACAGCUGGAAACGGCUGCUAAUACCGCAUAAGCGCACAGUACCGCAUGGUACGGUGUGAAAAACUCCGGUGGUAUGGGAUGGACCCGCGUCUGAUUAGCUUGUUGGUGAGGUAACGGCCCACCAAGGCGACGAUCAGUAGCCGACCUGAGAGGGUGACCGGCCACAUUGGGACUGAGACACGGCCCAAACUCCUACGGGAGGCAGCAGUGGGGAAUAUU
RNAcentral lists this non-coding RNA (384 nucleotides) under Roseburia sp. 40_7. RNAcentral describes it as "bacterial SSU rRNA". It matches the Rfam family "Bacterial small subunit ribosomal RNA", at positions 1 to 365 of the family's 1533-position model. Lineage: Bacteria; Bacillati; Bacillota; Clostridia; Lachnospirales; Lachnospiraceae. The record is from RNAcentral.